ACGAAGUCGGACCUGCCCAGUGAGUUUUAAACGGCCGCGGUACUCUGACCGUGCAAAGGUAGCAUAAUCAUUUGCCUUAUAAUUGAAGGCUGGAAUGAAUGGUUUGACAAGAAUACAACUGUCUCUAUAGAUUUCCUAGAAUUUUAUUUUUGGAUGAAAAAGUCCAGAUAUUAUUAAAAGACAAGAAGACCCUAUCGAGCUUUAGAGAAGUUAGUAGAUUUAAUAAUAAAUCAAUAGGAAUAAAAGAAAAACUACUAAAUACACUUUGGUUGGGGCAACCGAGGAGCAAGUAAAGCCUCCUUUAAGUUUUAAAUCCUGCAUGCGUUGAUCCAAAUAUUUUGAUCAAAGGAAUUAGUUACCGUAGGGAUAACAGCAUUAUCUUUUUCAAGAGCCCAUAUCGAAAAAAAGGUUUGUGACCUCGAUGUUGGACCAGGAUAUCCUAA
Molecule: ribosomal RNA, 443 nt
Filed under: Conus biliosus parvulus
Lineage: Eukaryota; Metazoa; Mollusca; Gastropoda; Neogastropoda; Conidae
Description: partial 16S ribosomal RNA
Rfam family: Bacterial large subunit ribosomal RNA
Source: RNAcentral